Molecule: non-coding RNA, 106 nt
Organism: Gossypium raimondii (Peruvian cotton)
Lineage: Eukaryota; Viridiplantae; Streptophyta; Magnoliopsida; Malvales; Malvaceae
Source: Rfam
AUCCCAUAAUGAGGACACUUACGAAGUAACUCCUUGAUCGCUCCCAAGUCUCAUACAAAGACUCAUCAUCUAGUUGCUGGAAAGUUGUGAUCCCGUUCCUCAACAU